This 1144-nucleotide long non-coding RNA is filed under the name Serinus canaria (Common canary). RNAcentral describes it as "lncRNA (ENSSCAG00000011294.1)". The record is from RNAcentral. Lineage: Eukaryota; Metazoa; Chordata; Aves; Passeriformes; Fringillidae.
CGGGCAGUCUGCAUUUUUUUCAAGCUCUCAUUAUGCUGCACCAGUAUCUCCAGAUGCUGUUUCCAGGGAACUAAGCCGCUUUCUAAUUAAAACUGCAAAGAGCAAUGGAGAGUUUAGGCAAAGACCAUGCUUCCUCGGACUCUUCCCUGCCACCCUCUGCAGCCUGUGAGGAGUAUGCUGUGCCAGAUGUCAUCAUAACCCGUCGCUUGAGAGACCGGGAGUUGCUCAGGAAAAGAAAAGCAGAAGCCCUGGAGAAAGAUUCAGCUCAGUGGGUUAUGAGAGACUAUAAGAUCGAACAGCAAAGGAGAGCCAGAAGAGCCAAAAGAGGACGGGGCCGUCAGACAGUGGUCAAGGCUGUCCUGGAGUCAGAGCCAGCAGUGGACCCCCAGCCUGACCACCAGGAGAAGGCUGAGCCGGUGCCCUCUGAGCCAGCACUGCCUGAACCAGGCUACCAGCAGCAGCCACCACCUAUGCUGACCCUCCAGAACAUGGUCAGUGGGAUGCAAGCAGUGGCAGUGGAAGGGGAGCUGGCAGACAGGAGCUUCGACCCUGCUGGUGAAGAGGAUGUGCUGAAACCAGCAGAAGCAGAUAUACUAGAAGAGUUGAAUACUCCUCUGGAAAAUGACCACCAGGAUAACGAAUUCAUUCCACAUAUUCUGUAUUAACUUUCUGAUUGUUUGGGGAUAUUUUUUAUUCUUACUCUCAUCUCACAAACUUGAUAAGUACGGCACAGUGAUUUUGAGCAGCUGCUUUCUUGGGAGCCAUAAAGCCCACACUCUCCUUGUCACUCUGUUUUCUGUGCUCCUUCCAGGCUAGAGAGGCAGCCCCUAGGGAGUUGCCUGUGGCUUCUGAGCCUCCUGCUCUCUCUGCAAACAGGCUGUUUUCCUUGGGCCCAUCUAAGGCUUCACAGUGCUCUGCCACACUACAGUUCAGUCAUACAGUCCAGCAUCCACCUGUGUUCCUGAAAGUAAUUUCUUAUUUGCUUAUAUGUGAGUGGCAUUGUAAAGCUAACAUUCACUGUGAUUUUUAGCUGGCUGAAGAAGUCCAUCUUGGGCUUUUUACCGCACCCCACCACCCUUUGUGCUAUUAUUUUCAGUCUGAACGUUUUUCUCAUAGCCUGUUUUUAUCUGCAAUAAACAUCUUG